RNAcentral lists this unclassified non-coding RNA (802 nucleotides) under Hevea brasiliensis (rubber tree). Lineage: Eukaryota; Viridiplantae; Streptophyta; Magnoliopsida; Malpighiales; Euphorbiaceae. The record is from RNAcentral.
GAGGUUAACCUCAAUGAAAGCAAGGUACUCUCUUUUUUUCCUUUUUGUUCCCUCAUUUUUGUUGUCUUUUUAUGCAAUCGAUUUGUUUGGUGAUCAAAGACGGAGUCUUUUCAUGGUUCUGUCUUAGUUUUUAGGAGACUGCUUAAAAGUUGAAAAUCAGCUGGUUUUAUUUGGGAUUUGGUAUCAAAUAUAGGUGUUUUGAUGGGUUUUGGGUCGGGAUUCUGUUGUCGAACGGGGUUGGUUUGGGGCACUGUUAUGGAUUUUCAUCCUAAAUGUGGGCGUAUACUAAUUAACCCCUUCUGCUUUUCUGAGUUCCUCGUGAGUUUUGGUUUUUGGAUUUUCUGCUUUUGGUUCUGUGAAGGACUUUGUUGAUUGUUUUUUGGGUUUUGGAGUGGUUUACCCUCAGCUUUUGAUUGGAUUUCAAGAUCAUUGAAGAGGGACUUAGUUGACAAUUUUUUAUUGGUUGUCUGAUUUUCUGCUUUGAAAUUUUGUUUUGGUUAUUUGAAGGUUGAAUUAGCUUGAUUUCCCUUGUGGAUUAAUUUGACUUGAAGAAUAUGAUUUGGUUGGGACUAAUUAAAUUACUUGUUGGCGUGUUAUUGUUGACUUGUGCUAGCUUAUCAAACUGCCUAAUUGCUUUCUUUUUUGAGUUCAAAGUAGUUUCGUUGUUCACCUUGUUAUUCAGUUCGCAUAUGAUGCAUGUAGUUGCUGCACAUAUAGGCAGAGAACUUUGUUUAAAGAUGUUUGCGGUUUUGGUACUUGCCAUUAUAUUUCAUGAGAUGAAAAUUGAUAUUUGCUGUUUUGC